CUGAAAUUCGCCUUCAUGAAGCCGGAAUUGCUAGUAAUGGCAGGUCAGCAUACUGCCGUGAAUACGUUCCCGGGGCCCUUGUACACACCGCCCGUCACACCAUGAGAGUUGGGAAUACCCGAAGCCUGUGAGCUAACAUUUAUGAGGCAGCAGUCGAAGGUAGAAUCAAUGAUUGGGGUGAAGUCGUAACAAGGUAAC
This 198-nucleotide ribosomal RNA is filed under the name uncultured bacterium. Its description in RNAcentral is "partial 16S ribosomal RNA". It matches the Rfam family "Bacterial small subunit ribosomal RNA", at positions 1305 to 1500 of the family's 1533-position model. The record is from RNAcentral.